AGCAACAGGAAAACAAAAAGACAUAGACAAUACAGGUGCUAAAAAUAAAGCCUCUUUUGCAACCCAGAACUCAUUGCUCAGUAUGAGUUUUGAUACAUAUAAGAAGGAACAUG
Myotis myotis is the source of this 113-nucleotide small nucleolar RNA. RefSeq annotates it as small nucleolar RNA SNORA40. NCBI's taxonomy places the organism in Eukaryota, Metazoa, Chordata, Mammalia, Chiroptera, Vespertilionidae. The transcript has a single exon. The record is from RefSeq and is a predicted model, not a curated record.